AUGGGAGUGCUCCCUCAAGUAUACUGCACACACAUGUGCACAGACGGCAAAUGCGUCACUGGGAGGGUGCCCCACCUGCUGCUCCGGUGCAGGUGUCAUUUUUUUUCUUUUUCUUCUAUAGACACUCCAAACUUCUGUAACAAAACACAAAGAAACUUUAAACUGCGAGAAUUACCUAACAUGCAUUUUUACCUUGAGCUGAACCAUCAUGUCUGUACCAAACUACUACUAUUUUUAAUUUAUCUUGUGAAAAAUCUCAGAUUAAAAUUUGAACUUCUAGAUCAAACAUGCACAUGGAACCAACAACACUUUCACAUACCUCAGUGUUACUUGCCUACAUGCUUCUGCAAUCACAGGAAAGACAAAUAUAUCCACACAACUAUGCCAACCAAAAAUAAAAACUUGAAUUCAGAGGUUUCUAUGGAGUUUCAACUUUUGUACAUUGAACUCCCUCGCUGGGUAAAAGAGAAUAAAAGAGAUCAAUAUAUGAAGUUACAAAGAUCCAACAAUUUAUUAGGCCGCAAGCAACCACAUUGA
Molecule: ribosomal RNA, 537 nt
Filed under: Triticum aestivum (bread wheat)
Lineage: Eukaryota; Viridiplantae; Streptophyta; Magnoliopsida; Poales; Poaceae
Description: partial small subunit ribosomal RNA
Source: RNAcentral